RNAcentral lists this ribosomal RNA (576 nucleotides) under uncultured bacterium. Its description in RNAcentral is "bacterial SSU rRNA". It matches the Rfam family "Bacterial small subunit ribosomal RNA", at positions 102 to 674 of the family's 1533-position model. The record is from RNAcentral.
ACGGGUGAGUAAUACAUCGGAACGUAUCCUGGAGUGGGGGAUAGCCCGGCGAAAGCCGGAUUAAUACCGCAUACGCUCUGAGGAGGAAAGCGGGGGACCUUCGGGCCUCGCGCUCAAGGGGCGGCCGAUGGCGGAUUAGGUAGUUGGUGGGGUAAAGGCCUACCAAGCCGACGAUCCGUAGCUGGUCUGAGAGGACGACCAGCCACACUGGGACUGAGACACGGCCCAGACUCCUACGGGAGGCAGCAGUGGGGAAUUUUGGACAAUGGGGGCAACCCUGAUCCAGCAAUGCCGCGUGUGUGAAGAAGGCCUUCGGGUUGUAAAGCACUUUUGUCCGGAAAGAAAUCAUCGGGGCCAAUACCCCUGGUGGAUGACGGUACCGGAAGAGUAAGCACCGGCUAACUACGUGCCAGCAGCCGCGGUAAUACGUAGGGUGCGAGCGUUAAUCGGAAUUACUGGGCGUAAAGCGUGCGCAGGCGGUGCUGUAAGACCGAUGUGAAAUCCCCGGGCUUAACCUGGGAACUGCAUUGGUGACUGCAGCGCUGGAGUAUGGCAGAGGGGGGUGGAAUUCCACGU